AGUGAACGCUGGCGGUAGGCCUAACACAUGCAAGUCGAACGGCAGCACAGUAAGAGCUUGCUCUUACGGGUGGCGAGUGGCGGACGGGUGAGGAAUACAUCGGAAUCUACUUUUUCGUGGGGGAUAACGUAGGGAAACGUACGCUAAUACCGCAUACGACCUACGGGUGAAAGCAGGGGAUCUUCGGACCUUGCGCGAUUGAAUGAGCCGAUGUCGGAUUAGCUAGUUGGCGGGGUAAAGGCCCACCAAGGCGACGAUCCGUAGCUGGUCUGAGAGGAUGUUCAGCCACGCUAGAACUGAGCCAGGGUCCCGACUCCUACGGGAGGCAGCAGUGGGGAAUAUUGGACAAUGGGCGCAAGCCUGAUCCAGCCAUACCGCGUGGGUGAAGAAGGCCUUCGGGUUGUAAAGCCCUUUUGUUGGGAAAGAAAAGCAGCAGGUUAAUACCCCGCUGUUCUGACGGUACCCAAAGAAUAAGCACCGGCUAGCUUCGUG
RNAcentral lists this ribosomal RNA (492 nucleotides) under uncultured bacterium. RNAcentral describes it as "partial 16S ribosomal RNA". It matches the Rfam family "Bacterial small subunit ribosomal RNA", at positions 29 to 507 of the family's 1533-position model. The record is from RNAcentral.